RNAcentral lists this ribosomal RNA (393 nucleotides) under uncultured bacterium. Its description in RNAcentral is "partial 16S ribosomal RNA". It matches the Rfam family "Bacterial small subunit ribosomal RNA", at positions 523 to 918 of the family's 1533-position model. The record is from RNAcentral.
AUACGGAGGAUGCGAGCGUUAUCCGGAUUUAUUGGGUUUAAAGGGUGCGUAGGUGGUAGAUUAAGUCAGCGGUGAAAGUUUGUCGCUCAACGAUAAAAUUGCAGUUGAUACUGGUUUACUUGAGUAUAGUUGAAGUAGGCGGAAUGCGUGGUGUAGCGGUGAAAUGCAUAGAUAUCACGCAGAACUCCUAUUGCGAAGGCAGCUUACUAAGUUAUAACUGACACUGAAGCACGAAAGCGUGGGUAUCAAACAGGAUUAGAUACCCUGGUAGUCCACGCAGUAAACGAUGAUUACUCGCUGUUUGCGAUAUACAGUAAGCGGCCAAGCGAAAGCAUUAAGUAUUCCACCUGGGGAGUACGCCGGCAACGGUGAAACUCAAAGGAAUUGGCGGGG